This is an RNA transcript of Lepisosteus oculatus (spotted gar), 2834 nucleotides long. It is a transcript of the gene named nonhomologous end-joining factor 1, with no coding region annotated. The record is from RefSeq and is a predicted model, not a curated record. NCBI's taxonomy places the organism in Eukaryota, Metazoa, Chordata, Actinopteri, Semionotiformes, Lepisosteidae.
AACCUGCUGUCGGCAAGCGGAACUCAGUUACAUUCACUCUUGUUUCUUAGACGAACUCUAAAUUCGUCGGAGCAUUAAGUUUACGAUGGAGGUCUCAGGCCACUCACUUGAGGAUUUGUCGUACCAGCCCUGGGUGCCCGUGGAAAUCGCAAGCACUUGUUUUCUGGCCAAAGUUCAUUUUGGAGAAACCUCCUACCAGUUGCUGCUAUCAGACUUAGACUUGGUGUGGCAUGAGCAAUUAAGCACAGAAGCCAUCAGACAGCGGGCACAGGAGCUGAACAGGCGUCUGACAGCCCCAGUAUCGUCCGUCUUCCGUCACCUGCGUAAGGUGGCCCAGCCCAGGCUGGAAGGGGCCGAGCACGGGGCGAGCGAGGCCGUGUUCUCGCACGAGCGCGUCCAAGACAACCUGCACGUGCGUGUGAAAAGUGAGCUUGCAGGAGUGCCCUUCUACUGGGAGUUCCGAUGCACACCAGUCCCCGUCACGGUGGUUUGUGAGCAGCUUGUACGCCCCCUGCUGGCCGUGAGCAGGCUGUUGCACUGCCAGGUGCAGGAGCUGACAGCCCUGCUUCAGAGGAAGGACGCGGAAAUUCAAGAUUACCGGGAGAGUGGGGUCUCGCUGAGCCGAGGUCGCUUGGAAACUGAAGUGUUUGUAGAGCAGCACUACGUGGAGCAUUUCCUUUCUGAGAGGCUGUCGGAAGUCUCCACAAUGCAGAACUGCUAUGGGUUCAACCAGGACAUCCAGAAGCUCUGCACAGCUGUAGCUGCCUGUGGGGCAGGUCACAAGCGCAACAGAUCUGACAGCCAUUCGCAAAACAGUCCCACAAACUCGGGGGAAACUCUGCAUCACGAUGAGAAGUGUUCUGCUGCAGAAAACGCCCAAGACAAAGCAGAGAAAGUUGCUUCUUCGGGAGUAACUGAUGGAUUCCAGCAAGAACAGACUGUAGUCCUAGGCUCCGUAUCUGGGACUGAGAAAAGCGCCGGCUCUCAGCGGACUUCUGUGAAACCAAAGAAGAAGAAAGCCAAGGGACUGUUUGGCUGAACCAGACCUUCCCUGCCUCACUUUUAGUUUUCUUUGACUUCAUCUUCCAGACGUCUUUGCUGGAAAAGCCUUUUGAAUAAAGUAGCGCUUUCUUUAACCACAACGCUGCUAUCUUCGGUACCUGUCUGAAGGGCUUCAGUCAUCUCAGCUGCUCACCUUCCGAAACUGAGCAGCUUUCGGACAAAACAUCAAAUUCAUCCGCUGCGGCUCUUCAUAAUUCAAAACCUUAACGCAAACCAUGGCUCGCAUUACUAAGACACCUUCAGCAAAAUUUGGGAUGGGAUGGCCAGUGACUUGAAAUACUUUCAACAAGAAACCAACAUUGUUCCUGGUACUAAAUUUAAAAUAUAUAUACUGUAUUUCCACAUGGAAGGCAGGCAUCCACUGUACUGCCUAAGGAUUUUUUCCAGCCAAACGCUUCUUGCUGUGUAAUGAGGACCUCUCAGAAGGUCUCAGAAGGUGAUGACCUGUAGACCAUCCAGUGUCCCUCAGACUAUCACCUACCUACUUGUUAGGUGGGACUUACUGACUUCCACUUUUUGAUAAUACACAUUUUUUAGCGCACACAUUUAAUCGGAAAAGCGCCAUCAUAGCAAAAUGGGUUUCCUGCAUAAACCAAGGCUUCCAGGAAACCCAUUUUAUUCUGAAACAUCAAACUGCCACUGUCUUAAAGACGUACAACAUUUAGUGCUGUAGGACCAUUUGUUUGCAGGUAAGUUUGUGUAUUUGUAAUGUCUAAUUUCAAGGGUAAAUUAUCUCAAGUGGCUCUGAAAAGAUGUCAGCUCUAGGAAAACUUAUACAACAUUAGUAUUAUUCAAUUUAUAUUAUAACAUUGUUUAUAAUACACAUCAUGUGUUAAGUCUCCCUAUGCUACUGCAACAACUAGAGGGUAGGAGAAGACAGCACUCUGAGCCUCAUAUCUACUAUCUAAGGCUUACAGUAUGUUUUCUUCCUGACCAGAACUCCAGAACUUGAAUUAGUGGUGGGAGGUAGGUAGAUAUAAAUAAUUAGGUUAAAAUACUUGAGGAACCAGCUGAAAGCAGAUGACCAAAUGUCACAGUACACCAUCAGUCCAGAUCCUACUUUUCUCUCUGUUGCUCUGUUCCAGGUCCAGUCUCAGACUGCUCAGCACUCCCACACAUCUAAUGUGUCACCUAAUCUAAUGUGACUGUGUGGCGGUUGAGGUGUGUCUAAGGUUGCCAUUCAAUCUACUGUAUGAUUCAACCUAUGAUUGUCACCUGCUAUACUGUAUGUGCUACAGGCAGAAAACAAUCAGACACACAAGAGGAAUAAAACCCCCCUCACUUUUGUAACCCUGUGACAAAAGCAUUCAGGAGAGACAGGAAUAAUGCUAAACCACGUGAUCGAUGGAGCGAGUUGAGUGACCAUCACUUCAGUACUUCUAGUUUCCAGAACAGCCGCUAGAUAGCGUAUGAUUAUUGGUUUGGAGCACCUAGAGGCGAUCGCAAGCAUGUUGUUUCAGCUCACUAGUGUUUCCCACCUUCGUAGGCCCUAAAAAUUUAGUAGGCCCUAGGCACUGUGCCAGCACUGGAGAAGUGAAGGUAUGCGUUAAAAAACAUUCACGUGCAAGAACUUAACUUACCAAGAACCUAACUUUUUCCUCACAUGCUUGCCUAGCUGUUGCGUGAUGAGGCUGCCAUUAGUCUGCCUUGAAGUGGCAGACCUUUUUAACUAGCACUUGUCCCCUAUUCCAGAUGCAGUGCAUCAAUCACGGCUCUCAUAUGUAUGUUCAACUAUAUCACCUGUUGAGAAAAAUAAAUGUCCUACUACCUGA